Molecule: RNA transcript, 3060 nt
Organism: Pezoporus occidentalis (night parrot)
Lineage: Eukaryota; Metazoa; Chordata; Aves; Psittaciformes; Psittacidae
Gene: CHPT1
Gene name: choline phosphotransferase 1
Exons: 9
Source: RefSeq, a predicted model, not a curated record
GCCGCAGCCCUCCGCUCAGCCCCGCCCCGAGCGGCGGUGGCGGUCUGACCUCCGAGCCUCCGGCUGCGCGGCGGGGCUGUAGCGGCAGCAUGACGGUGCCCUGGGCUCUGCCCGCGCCCCUCAGCCCGGCGCAGCUGAAGCGCCUGGAGCAGCACCGCUACAGCGCGGCCGGGCGCUCGGUGCUGGAGCCGUGGCUGCAGCCGUACUGGGCCUGGCUGGUAGAGCAGGUCCCGCUGGGGCUGGCCCCCAACACCAUCACCCUGGGCGGCCUGCUGUUGAACUGCCUGACGGCGCUGCCGCUCAUCGCCUGCUGCCCCAGCGCCACCGAGCAGGCACCUUUUUGGGCAUACAUUCUGGGUGCAUUAGGACUUUUUAUCUACCAGUCUCUGGAUGCCAUAGAUGGGAAGCAAGCCAGAAGAACGAACAGUAGUUCUCCUCUAGGAGAGCUCUUUGAUCAUGGUUGCGACUCUAUUUCCACAGUUUUUGUUGUCCUUGGAUCCUGCAUAGCAAUCCGACUAGGAACAAAUCCUGACUGGUUGUUUUUCUGUUGUUUUGUGGGACUGUUCAUGUUCUAUACUGCUCACUGGCAGACAUAUGUAUCAGGCAUACUAAGAUUUGGAAAAAUUGAUGUAACUGAAGUUCAGAUAGCCAUAACAAUGCUGCUCUUGACAUCUGCAUAUGCUGGAACAGCAAUAUGGGACUCUAAGGUCCCUUUGGUGGGCUUAGAAUUGAAGUUCCUUGCAGUUUUUGGCAUAUUAUGUGGAACAGCACUUUCUUCAUUCAGUUACUUCCGUGUCAUCUUUGGUGGAGGAAUUGGAAAGAAUGGAUCUACAAUAGCAGGAACAAGUGUUCUUUCACCAGGCCUGCACAUUGGACUACUUCUCACGCUGGCCGUUAUGAUCUAUAAAAAGUCUACAACUCAGCUAUUUGAAAAACAUUCUUGCCUGUAUGUCUUGACAUUUGGGUUUGUGAAUGCCAAAAUCUCACAGAAGCUGGUGGUGGCUUACAUGACAAAAAGUAAAAUCUGUCUUCAGGACACUGCAUAUAUUGGGCCAGGACUUCUAGUUUUGGAUCAGUACUUCAAUAGUUUCAUUGAUGAAUAUAUUGUUCUAUGGAUAGCAUUGUUCAUAUCCUUGUUUGAUAUGCUGAGAUAUGCCACUGGUGUAUGCCUACAGAUUGCUGCUCAUCUUCAUAUACAUGUCUUCCGAAUUUCAUCUCAUCAAGCUCCUGAACAGGUUCAAAACCAUAAUGACUGAUUAAAUAGGUCAAGAACAAAAGAAGAAGCAGUUAGGGGAAUGCUGAAUGAAGCAGCCUGUCUUUUUUGGGGGGAAGAGAUUAAGCUUUUUAAGAAAACAGUUUUAUGAGAAAGUUCACUCUAUCCUAGACAUUAUCAGGUGUUAGAGUUACGAAGUACAAAGUCCUGCAGAUUCUGUUGUGAUUGUUACUUUUGAACCAGGAUGUAUUUUUCCCCCGUGUUUUAGAGCAUGAAUACUGCAUUUGAAACUUUUGCCAUUUCCUGUUAGGUAACCUUAAUUUUGUACUUCUGGUCUGGUGAAUGCAGGCUGCAAACCCAGGUGCUACGAACCAGAAUUCCAAGAGGAAUUUAACUUUUCCCUAAUCUUCUAUUGUUAGUUUUUAAAGUCUUCUUGGAACUGCUGUGAAGUGGUAGUCAUGUAUCAGUGAAUACUGUACUGCAUUAUUAAGACUGGUAAAAUGAGGUAUAUGUGAGGUAAAACUACUCAUUAAUCUCUGUUCCAGUAUUUCUAAAGAAAAAGCUACUGGAUCAGUACGAUGAAGGAGGUAUAGCUCAGGAAAAUUUUCUUCUAUGUCAAAAUACUAUGAAGUACUAUGAAGUUGUGAGUGCCUUUAGGAUCAUGGAUUCUCUAGUAUCUAAGUACGUAACCUACAUGACUAAAUACAAUUUUAGCUUGUGUUUUCUUUCAAGGCCAGUUUCUGGUUUUGUGGUCCCAGUAAGGUUUGCCUCAUUGUACUCCAUCAUUAUCUAGACUAUAGGUAGUUGUGUACUCUGGGGGCACUUACUUUACCUACCUUAACAUGCAUCUGAAACUAUACAAGUGAAUGACCAAGUUCAUUUAUAAAUGACUGUGACAAUGCAGCCCAUCCAUACGUAACUCCCUCUGAAGUAUAUUUGCUAUUGCUGUGUUCAUCUAUCUUAUAAUCUGUUCUGUAGCUGUCACUGUACAUUAUCCAAACAAAAUUGCACUGAGCUAAAACCAAAUGUAUAGUAAAAAUCUCCAAAACAGGAAUUCAGGCCCAAUAUCAGCCUUUCCCUUUCCGUAAGAACAGACUGACUGGCUAACAUAAUGUACCUAGCUAAAGGGCUGUUGUUGGCAUUAGAGAAAAGCUGCGUGAAAGUAGCUUAUCACCUGCAUGAGCAAAUCAUGACUUGCAUGCAAACCCUAUAAGCUUAAACUCCUUUAAAAAGGUACGUUUUGAAUAUGAUUUUUGUAAAAAGCUGUUGAAUGUGUCUGUUACCACUUUCAGUUGCUGAUAUGUAGCUGAGCUGUGAGUUCAUAAAGUCCUUCCUGAACUGUAAAAUAGACAGCUAUGAUUUGUUUUAAAAAUAUUACCACUGCAGCUUCCUAGUUGCACAUUAAUUCAAAAAGACUUCCUGAGGUGUUCAAGGAACUUUAAAAGUGGCAUACUGUCUGGUAAAUUUGGAGGGAAUAAAAUACCGUCUACCAAACUCCUGCCUAAGAAGGAUAUGCUGAUAGACUGGAGGGAUAACUGUAACAGUUAAUGCUAAAGGACCAGUACUCCAAGUGACUAGUAUCAAUCCCAGAUGAGUCCUACUACUCCUACUGUUUGAGGCUGUGAGAGACAGAGCAUAUAUAAAGGAACUUAGCCUGAGCCCAGCCCAUGGGGAAGUAGAAGAUGGUACAAGUUGUUUCUCCAUUGAGCCAUCAGAAUAACAUGGACUGAAGAGACUUGCGAACAGCUGCCAUCUCCUGCUGUUGCUGUUACAAGAAAGGGAGAUAAUACUGAACAAAUGCCAUAUCAAUAUGAUUCCUUUGAGCCAAUUAAAAGAAUGUCAAAUGA